GACAGAGGGUGCAAACGUUGUUCGGAAUUACUGGGCGUAAAGCGCGUGUAGGCGGCAAUACAAGUCGGAUGUGAAAUCCCGCGGCUUAACCGUGGAAGUGCACCCGAAACUGUAUCGCUAGAGUCCCGGAGAGGAUGGUGGAAUACUUGGUGUAGAGGUGAAAUUCGUAGAUAUCAAGUGGAACACCGGUGGCGAAGGCGGCCAUCUGGACGGUGACUGACGCUGAGGUGCGAAAGCGUGGGGAGCAAACAGG
RNAcentral lists this ribosomal RNA (253 nucleotides) under uncultured bacterium. Its description in RNAcentral is "partial 16S ribosomal RNA". It matches the Rfam family "Bacterial small subunit ribosomal RNA", at positions 524 to 776 of the family's 1533-position model. The record is from RNAcentral.